AACCGUUCAGAUUAAAACGAAAACAUGUACACUUGUCCAUACAGGAUCCUACAAUAUCUCCUUCUUUCUUCAUACCCAGUAACAUCCACUAGUGCUUCAACAUGACAGAAACAAAUUCCGGCGAAUUUCCAAACCACCGACACCGACUACUCACACCAUCGACGACGACCACUACCACCGGAGAAUCUUUCUUCCUAUAAUUUUUUUUCUUUUUUUGUACACACCACUACCAUAACCGCCACUCUCUAAAGAUUAAUAGCAUCACCUUUUGAUUUCAUAAAUUUAAAAAAUAGAAUUUCUAUCAUAAUUUCAAUUGGUAUGAAUAGGAAAUGAAUAAUUGUUAGAUCUGAAAGAAAACUUCAAAAUUUGUAUCUCUGCUACUGCUACAAUUUCACCCAAAUCCUCUUACUAUCCUUGUUGUUGUUCUGUUUUCUUUUUUUUUUUUUUUCAAAAGAGAGAAACAAAAAAUUAC
Molecule: long non-coding RNA, 472 nt
Filed under: Trifolium pratense (red clover)
Lineage: Eukaryota; Viridiplantae; Streptophyta; Magnoliopsida; Fabales; Fabaceae
Description: long non-coding RNA (TPRA_LNC011140)
Source: RNAcentral